UUCUUAACAGAGUCGGGACAUGUGCACACCUGGCUUCAUUCCACUCUUCAACCCCUGUGCACUUGUUGUAGGUUUCAGGUCGGACGCGGGGCUUUCGACUUCAUCGUCGAGAGCCUCAAGGAAAGCCUGAGCCUAUGUUUUACCAUACACACGCUUCAGUUAUAGAAUGUAAACAUCGCGUAUAACGCAUUUUAAAUACAACUUUCAGCAACGGAUCUCUUGGCUCUCGCAUCGAUGAAGAACGCAGCGAAAUGCGAUAAGUAAUGUGAAUUGCAGAAUUCAGUGAAUCAUCGAAUCUUUGAACGCACCUUGCGCUCCUUGGUAUUCCGAGGAGCAUGCCUGUUUGAGUGUCAUGGAAUUCUCAACCUUUGAAAGCUUUUAUCGGUUCUCAAAGGCUUGGACUUGGAGGUCGUGUCGGCUCUGCAAAGAAUAUCGACUCCUCUGAAACGUAUCAGUGCGAACCUUUACGGAUCGUCUUCGGUGUGAUAAACGUCUACGCCGUGGUCGUGAAGUAUGAUCGUGUCCGUGCUUCUAACCGUCUCCUUUGCGAGACAAAAACUGUGUUACUUACUAUAAGUAACAUAGGCAUUGACAAUCUGACCUCAAAUCAGGUAGGACUACCCGCUGAACUUAAGCAUAUCAAUAA
This 646-nucleotide ribosomal RNA is filed under the name Phlebia tremellosa. RNAcentral's name for it is "eukaryotic LSU rRNA". The stretch from base 200 to 353 matches the Rfam family "5.8S ribosomal RNA". The record is from RNAcentral. Lineage: Eukaryota; Fungi; Basidiomycota; Agaricomycetes; Polyporales; Meruliaceae.